UUGCUUAUUAAAAGACUAAGAAAUACUUUAAGAGGCUAACACAAAAGGGUAAAGGAACUCUCCAUAAAAUCUAGAGGGGAAAACUACACCUCCUCUUUGGAUCCUGUCUGGAGUUCACAGAU
Molecule: small nucleolar RNA, 122 nt
Organism: Mastomys coucha (southern multimammate mouse)
Lineage: Eukaryota; Metazoa; Chordata; Mammalia; Rodentia; Muridae
Product: small nucleolar RNA SNORA26
Exons: 1
Source: RefSeq, a predicted model, not a curated record